UUGCUUGCUUUGGCAGCACAUAAACUAAAAUUUGAACGAUACAGAGAUUAGCAUGGCCCCUGUGCAAGGACAGGCACAUUUGUGAAGUGUUCCAUAUUUAA
This is a small nuclear RNA of Tursiops truncatus (common bottlenose dolphin), 101 nucleotides long. The record is from Ensembl. NCBI's taxonomy places the organism in Eukaryota, Metazoa, Chordata, Mammalia, Artiodactyla, Delphinidae.